Long non-coding RNA from Pseudophryne corroboree (corroboree frog), 671 nucleotides. RefSeq lists it as uncharacterized. NCBI's taxonomy places the organism in Eukaryota, Metazoa, Chordata, Amphibia, Anura, Myobatrachidae. The record is from RefSeq and is a predicted model, not a curated record. The transcript is spliced from 3 exons.
GGAGGAGAUCAGCUGCAGCCUCAUCAUGAGAGGGGCUCAACAGAGACAAUGCCUGCCUGCCAGCUAAUGCUUUCUCUCAGAACUGGAAGUGAAAUUUUGUGAAAUGCGUCGAUAUCCAGUACUUUGGUUGUGGUGGAGACUGAAUGUUCUACAUGAAGGCAGGUUGCCAGCCCACAAAGCAGAAUUUGUAAUCCAUGGAUAGGAUGCUGACCAUCCAUUCUACUAUAUGAUGUAACUGUGGAAGUGCUGGGACUAAUUUGGGCCAGAUUCAACCACAAAAACAUGUACAUCUCUGUAGCCGGAAUACAUACGUAUUCACAGCGCUUCGCCGGGAUCCCAACAGCCGGCAAAUUAACUGCAUCCCCUGUAGCCAGAUCUGGGACAAGGUGAAUAUUUAACAGAACAGCUCAUCUCUCGAUAAACUGCUGAGGACAUUGGACAUCAGUGACAAGGACAGCAGUGUGCAGCCCUGACGUAACUGCAUGUCCUAUUUCUGUAGGUGGUCAUGCAGGUUAAAAAGAAUGUUACUUAUUUCCAGUAAAUGAACAUGAUGUGUUUAUAUCUCCCAUUACUUUAUGCUAUGUACAAUUAUCAGUUAUUUAUGGUUCAAUCUUUUAGAACCAUGGUGCUAUUAAUACUCGGCUCUUUUUUACUAUUAGCUGACAAUAAAA